AGCGAACGCUGGCGGCAGGCUUAACACAUGCAAGUCGAGCGGAAACUCCGUGGUCAGCUGCAGACGGGUGAGGGACACGGGGUAACGUACACUUGGGUUCCGAAUCAUUCUGUUUAACUUACGCUCAGACAGGUUACGCUCUUUUGGGAUAGGGCUUGCUGCCGUAGGAUCGGGCCGCGUCUGUUUAGCUGGUUGGGGGGGUAAUGGCCUACCAAGGCGUCGAUCAUUAGCUGGUCUGAUAGGAUGCUCAGGCACGCUGGGGCUGCGACCCGGCCGCGAAUCCUACGGAAGGGAGCAGUGGGGAAUAUUGGACACUGGGCGCAAGCCUGAUCCAGCCAUGCCGCGUGAGUGAUGAAGGGCGUAGGGUUGUAAAGCUGUUUUGUCCGAGACGAUAAUGACGGUACCGGAAGAAUAAGCCCCGGCUAACUUCGUG
Molecule: ribosomal RNA, 433 nt
Filed under: uncultured bacterium
Lineage: Bacteria
Description: partial 16S ribosomal RNA
Rfam family: Bacterial small subunit ribosomal RNA
Source: RNAcentral